GGUGUAGCUCAAUAGUAGAGCACUAGUCUUUAAAAGCUAGCUACUAGGGAUCGAUUCCUUUCAUC
RNAcentral lists this transfer RNA (65 nucleotides) under Sporomusa sp. An4. It matches the Rfam family "tRNA". Rfam says of the family: Transfer RNA (tRNA) molecules are approximately 80 nucleotides in length. Their secondary structure includes four short double-helical elements and three loops (D, anti-codon, and T loops). Further hydrogen bonds mediate the characteristic L-shaped molecular structure. tRNAs have two regions of fundamental functional importance: the anti-codon, which is responsible for specific mRNA codon recognition, and the 3' end, to which the tRNAs corresponding amino acid is attached (by aminoacyl-tRNA synthetases). tRNAs cope with the degeneracy of the genetic code in two manners: having more than one tRNA (with a specific anti-codon) for a particular amino acid; and 'wobble' base-pairing, i.e. permitting non-standard base-pairing at the 3rd anti-codon position. The record is from Rfam by way of RNAcentral. Lineage: Bacteria; Bacillati; Bacillota; Negativicutes; Selenomonadales; Sporomusaceae.